Molecule: ribosomal RNA, 253 nt
Filed under: uncultured bacterium
Lineage: Bacteria
Description: partial 16S ribosomal RNA
Rfam family: Bacterial small subunit ribosomal RNA
Source: RNAcentral
GACGUAGGGCGCGAGCGUUGUCCGGAUUUAUUGGGCGUAAAGAGCUCGUAGGCGGCUUGUCGCGUCGUCCGUGAAAACCUGGGGCUCAACCCCGGACUUGCGGUGGGUACGGGCAGACUAGAGUGUGGUAGGGGAGACUGGAAUUCCUGGUGUAGCGGUGAAAUGCGCAGAUAUCAGGAGGAACACCGAUGGCGAAGGCAGGUCUCUGGGCCACUACUGACGCUGAGAAGCGAAAGCGUGGGGAGCGAACAGG